Molecule: ribosomal RNA, 449 nt
Filed under: uncultured bacterium
Lineage: Bacteria
Description: bacterial SSU rRNA
Rfam family: Bacterial small subunit ribosomal RNA
Source: RNAcentral
AGCGAACGCUGGCGGCAGGCCUAAAACAUGCAAGUCGAACGGAUCCUUCGGGAUUAGUGGCGGACGGGUGAGUAACACGUGGGAACGUGCCUUUUGGUUCGGAACAACUCAGGGAAACUUGAGCUAAUACCGAAUGUGCCCUUCGGGGAAAGAUUUAUCGCCAUUAGAGCGGCCCGCGUCUGAUUAGCUUGUUGGUGAGGUAAAGGCUCACCAAGGCGACGAUCAGUAGCUGGUCUGAGAGGAUGAUCAGCCACACUGGGACUGAGACACGGCCCAGACUCCUACGGGAGGCAGCAGUUAGGAAUCUUGCGCAAUGGGGGAAACCCUGACGCAGCCAUGCCGCGUGAAUGAUGAAGGUCUUAGGAUUGUAAAAUUCUUUCAGCGGGGACGAUAAUGACGGUACCCGCAGAAGAAGCCCCGGCUAACUUCGUGCCAGCAGCCGCGGUAAU